AUGCCAGUAAAAGACGCUGGCCGUGUUGCCUGUGUAUCUAAACGAUUUCUGCAUUCAUGGAGAUGUUAUUCAAAUCUCAAACUCAAUAAACAACCACUUGGGUUGACUGGCGACAAAUUUGAGGGAAGUGAAAUAUAUCACAUCAACAAAGUGGACCAAAUUUUGAAUAGUUAUUCUAAAAAUGGGAUGAAGGUGAAGUCACUUCAACUUGAUCUUUUCCAUUGUAGCAGUGUGAGUGCCUUCUAUCUGGACUGGUGGCUCAGAAUUGCUCUCAAAUCUGGUAUCAAAGAACUAAGCUUUUCGUUGUCUCGUUCCAUGAAAGAAGAAGAUUGUUUUCCAUGUUCGGUUUCAUUUGGCAAGCAAGCUGCGAGUUCGAUUGAGCACCUUAAUAUCUCCAAGUGCACUUUUCAACCUAUGGAAACACUUGGCUAUUUUGAAAGAUUGAAAAGUUUAGACCUAUUCCGUGUUUGCAUUACUGAGGAGGGAUUAUGGAAGUUGCUCUCAAAAUCUUUCAGCUUAGAACAGUUGGAGAUAUUUUUAUGCAAUGAGAUAAUUUGUUUGAAGAUACCAUGUACAGUGCAGAAACUUAAUUUUCUCAUAGUUACAAGUUGUCAAAAGAUUCAGGUGAUAGAUAUCAGCGCUCCGAAUCUCUUCACUUUUCACUAUGUUGGGUUCCCACCAGAGAUCUAUAUCGGAGAUUCUUCCCAACUUAUAGAAGUACAUUUGUCAUCUUUAUAUCCGUCCAGAAUCAUCUCUUAUAGUCGUGCCAAGCUUCCAUCUAUCGCUAGCAAUGUCGAGAGGCUUACCCUGCUGUCCAAUAGUGAGAAUGUGAACACUCCAAUGCUUCUUGACAAGCUCCUCCACCUCAAGAGUUUGAAGAUUGUACUUAACGGAUCAGGGCACUGUUCCCCUGUCUAUGACACCUUUUAUCUGGCUUCUUUUCUUGAUGCUUCUCCUGCCUUGGAAUCUUUCAUAUUGCGUGUAAGUCACUAUUCAUGUCUUCUUGAUAUCUAUGGGAAAACCACUGGGUGCGAUGCAUACUUAAGGGGGAAAUCGGGAUACCGGCAUGACCACCUCAAACGGGUGAUGAUCGCUGGCUUCCGUUCAGCCAAGAGCCUUAUUAAGCUUGUGAUCCACAUCCUUGAGAGCGCUCCUUCGCUGGAGUGUCUCACGCUGGAUACGACCCCUGGUGGCCAUGGUAGGAAGCUUGGUGAUACCAGCAUAUGCAGUGCUGCAAGAAUGUUGGGUAAAUGUUGCUCGAUGAGUGAGAGAGCUCUUGAAGAAGCUAAGAGAGAUGUUGCGGCUGCGAGUAGAUACAUCACUGGGAGACUUCCAUCAACUGUUAAAUUUGAGGUCCUUGAGCCCUGUAGGCAAUGCCAUACUGGCAACCAGUAG
This 1395-nucleotide ribosomal RNA is filed under the name Triticum aestivum (bread wheat). RNAcentral describes it as "partial small subunit ribosomal RNA". Lineage: Eukaryota; Viridiplantae; Streptophyta; Magnoliopsida; Poales; Poaceae. The record is from RNAcentral.